AUUGAACGCUGGCGGCAGGCCUAACACAUGCAAGUCGAGCGAGUGGCGGACGGGUGAGUAAUGUAUGGGGAACUGCCUGAUAGAGGGGGAUAACUACUGGAAACGGUAGCUAAUACCGCAUACUAUCGGAUGUGCCCAUAUGGGAUUAGCUAGUAGGUGGGGUAAAGGCUCACCUAGGCGACGAUCUCUAGCUGGUCUGAGAGGAUGACCAGCCACACUGGAACUGAGACACGGGCCAGAAUCCUACGGGAGGCAGCAGUGGGGAAUAUUGCACAAUGGGCGAAAGCCUGAUGCAGCCAUGCCGCGUGUAUGCAGAAGGCCUUAGGGUUGUAAAGUACUUUCAGCGGGGAGGCGUUACCCGCAGAAGAAGCACCGGCUAACUCCGUGCCAGCAGCCGCGGUAAUUC
This 406-nucleotide ribosomal RNA is filed under the name uncultured bacterium. RNAcentral describes it as "partial 16S ribosomal RNA". It matches the Rfam family "Bacterial small subunit ribosomal RNA", at positions 30 to 526 of the family's 1533-position model. The record is from RNAcentral.